UACCACGUGGAAGGUGACAGUUUGUUUAAUGACUCUGUUUAUCAGCCACGAUACGAAGAUUAAAGCACCAAGUUUGGCAAAUAAAGAAACCAGACCACAUACGCCAGCCGCACUCAUUUAGGAGCGCCUGUGUGCCGACUCCCCUGCUCGUGUGGUGAAGGUGUUAUGUCGCCUAGCAGGAGCAGAGCGCUGCACACGCCUGCCACGCAGCUGUAAAUAGCGGGGGCUCGCCGGGCUCAGGGUCAAUGUGUCUGUGCACAGCCCACCUUUCAUGCUUCCGCUCUGCGCUCAAAGCAGAAGUACCAGGCAGCGAGGAAGAGAAAGCUGAGAACGUACCCAUGAGCUGAUGUCCACCUCACGCUCCGCUGCAUGGGCUUUUCCUCUCAUCCAGCACUCAUACGCACUUGCUACGUCAUGUUCCAUUAUGACUUUAUAGCACGUGGCUCCACAUUUCCACUGACAACUGGGGGGAUCUAUGAAGAUUGGCCUCUUUCCGUUGGGCGUGCUUGCUGUAUAAGCUACUGCAGUUCGUCUCUCUCCGCACUGAAUGGCACGUGACCCUGACAGUGAGGUCCCUGUGAUGCUCGUCCACUGGUGAAACUGCUGAGCAGCUGGAGGAGCAAGGGCAUUUUGUUUGCCCCAUGCUGUGGAAGGAAGGCUUAAUUCUUAGUUACAGCGCCUGAAUUGAAACCAUGUAUGCAUUUUUGUUGGUUUUGCUAAACUCAACGGUUGUGCCAAUGAUAGAUCUCUCUCAAAACAGGAAAUUGUUUCCACUGUGUGUGUUGUUCACGAAAAUGUGUGCACCCGUAAGAAUUCCCUGCAUUUCCCUCUUCAGGAUAUAACGUCAGUCAUUUCAGCACCCCUAAAAGUGAAAUAACUCCCUGUUGGGAUGACUCUUAGCCAGACUGAUGUAUAUCUGAUCACUCCCACAGUCUGCUGUGAGGAAUAAGUGAAUCAUCUUCCUUCACGCUGAGUGCUGGCACCUCACAGAAUUUCUCUGGGACUCUUCAAAGCACAAAAAACAGCACAAGCCAG
Struthio camelus australis is the source of this 1035-nucleotide non-coding RNA. NCBI's taxonomy places the organism in Eukaryota, Metazoa, Chordata, Aves, Struthioniformes, Struthionidae. The record is from RefSeq and is a predicted model, not a curated record.